GGUUGUGGUAUAACAUAUCAUGCAUUAUACAGCAGUCCAUAAUAUCCAACAAAUUAUUGCUACAGGUAACAUUUGCGGCUUUAAGGUAAUGCGUAAUAAGAUAAGCAUAAGACAUGACUAGUGUAUAUGCGGUAUGUAAUUAUAUGGUAUGAGGGUGUUUUCCCACUGGUCAGAUUCGGGAUGGAACCCUAUAUGUAUCCAUUGGUUACACUUCAUGUUCUUAUCGCGACCUCCUGUGUGAUUGUAUACACCGCAUUUAGUCAUCUAGUGUGGAUCCCGUGUUCCUAUGCCAUGGAUCGGUUAAAUGGGGGGGGGGGAGGUAAUUGUAGUAGAAAGUAGAAAUGAAAGGGGGAGAAAGGUUUCGUAGGUCUAGAAGAGUCCUUCCUUGGGUUCCACUUUUCCUCCUCGUAUCGGAGUGGGUGAGUAGUCGGUAUGUGGUGUUUGGGAAUUAUCUAGUUGUUUUGUGGUGGAUCGUGGUGAGUGUGUAAGGUAAUGUAGUUUAGACCGCUGUCAGGUUACUGUCUCCCGUUAUAGGCAUGUCAGGGGUCUGAUCUAGUAUGUUGUGUCAGUCCCCUGGUCGCCCGUUGGUGUGCUGUGUCCCGUAAUUUACGUUGGGAUUCCAGGUACGUGUUAACCGUCCGUGUGGUUAUUGAGUGGGGUUAUGUAACGCCGUGCUGACGUUCGUUCAGCGCGUGUGUGUCCUGUAAAAGGUCUACGUUAACAAGGGAGUGUGUGAUUCCAUGUGCUUUGUCUCCCACCGGGGCAAGGUGUCCCAUAGGGGGGUCAUGGCCAGUAAUAGGAAGGAUCUGGGAUCCACCCACCAGCCCUCCACUCCUUAUGUGCGUGAUGGAGGCCCACUAUCUACCCGCUUGAUACGAGAACCAGGGUCGCCACGACUUAUUCAUUUUUUUACCUGGCAUCUUCUCUACAUCCUGGACUCCAAGUAAUCCUAGGUGGGGAUUAUACCACCAGCGCUAAUGUUUAGGAGCAGUUGGUCUGCUCCUGUCUUGUGAGUACCCAAUUUUAUUUUAUUUUAUCACCAAUAUUUUACUCAGUGUACACUAUUGGCUGUUUCUUGUUCCCUUUAUCCGAGUGUUGAAUAUACCACUGACGGAGGAAACUCACCGUAUAUCCCAUAAGCGGGGAUUAAACCGCUGUACGCCCUUCAUACUAGAGCGAGUCAAACACUCUGAUAAAUGUGAGUUUUAUUUCAGCCUUUUAUUAUUUUUAUCCUUUUAUUCUGAAACAUAUUGCACUAUUUGGUUCUCCACCUUUUUAUCUUCUAUAUACGAGUGGACCCAUACGGAGGAUAACACAAAGUACUACUGUUCUGGACCAAGCACGGAUAGAUUCUACGAUCCCAAUAAGAACAUUUUAGAUAAGACUUUUCAAAUUCUUCUCACUCUCCUGGACUAUUUUUUAUUUUCCAUAUCAAGUUCUCCUUAGCGCAGCCCUUAUUUCUUAUUCUUUCUCCUUUUUAGUGUUAUUUCUAAGGGCUUUUGAGGGAUUCCCUUAUAGGGUUGCUGCCUACAUAUUAGUCAGUGCUUACUCACUGUUUUGUUUUUAUACAUGGUGACAGAUAGACACAUACUAACAUACAGACACAUGCAUGAGGACAUAAAGACACAUAUAUACAUACGCAUUGACAUACAUACAUACAGACAUACUGACAGACAUACAGACACUGACAUCCAUACACACAUACAUUCAUAAUGACAUACAGACAUAUACAUACAUACAUUCAUAAUGGCAUACAGACAUACAUACAUACAUACAGAC
Molecule: long non-coding RNA, 1779 nt
Filed under: Pelobates cultripes (western spadefoot toad)
Lineage: Eukaryota; Metazoa; Chordata; Amphibia; Anura; Pelobatidae
Source: RNAcentral